GGAGCUGGAGUCAUUUGGCUGCUGUGUGAAGAACAGAGAGUCAGUGCUCUGAGGAGCUGCCCAUGAGAAACACCAAGCAGAUCUUUCCAUCCUGCACGGGCAGUGAGUUCAGUAGCAGUUCAGUUGCAUAAGGAGCUUGGGAGAUGAUUGUGCAGAAACAGGGAUGACAUCUGAGUGGUUCAGAGUGUUCCAGAGGGGGACUCCAGUGAUGUGAGUGAAUUUUGGGAUGUUGGCUGCUACGAGCCCCAACAGAUGAAGCUCCCUGCAAGGAAAUGAUCUUUUCUGCAGAUGCCAAACAAGCCCUGACGUGUGACAGCCCAACAGGAAUGUUCCUAGAGUCCAUGCUAACAUGGGAAUGAUUUCUGAAAAUAUGGAUACCACAAAUAUUACCAGCUUUAUCAGUUGUUUAAUUUACAUUAAUUUUCCCCGCUGAGCAAUAUAUAAAUAUUCAUGGCGCUAUCAGAUUAGUUUACACUUUGAGAAGUUAUCAGAGAUGAGAGAGAGAAAUAUGGCAUAAAUAUUUUAAUUCUUCUAAGCAUGUAGUUCCUUUGAAUCCCUGAUGAUAGUCACAAUGACAUUAUGAGAAGAAAAAACUUUUAUAAUAAAUUUCAUUCACGGAAGGAGUCACCAGUGAAGUUCAAUAGUAUUUAUUAUAAAACUCUUUGUGAAUCCAGUGGAAUUGUUAUCUUGUAGGUCUUUUUCUUCUUUGCAUGUGUUUGAUCAAUAUUGGUUGAACUAUGGCUGGGCUUUGAAGGCAAUAAAUGAGUUGUUAAUGAG
Zonotrichia leucophrys gambelii is the source of this 777-nucleotide long non-coding RNA. RefSeq lists it as uncharacterized. The transcript has 4 exons. Lineage: Eukaryota; Metazoa; Chordata; Aves; Passeriformes; Passerellidae. The record is from RefSeq and is a predicted model, not a curated record.